AACAAGUGAUGCUGUUAUGUUCCGGGCUUCUCUGGUUCUCUUGGUGGCGUUUUUUCCUGUGCGCCUUUUCCACCUCUUACCACCAGAUGGCGACAGGUUCCGGUUGGAGUGCGGUGGUGUCAUCAUCAUCCACAGCUGUCAUCAAUUACCCUCAUCAGCGGAGCAUACUUAAGGAGUUGACCGCCAGUCCAGCGUCGCCUGAGUGUUUGCCAGUCACGGUACCUCUGAGCCCCCUUGAGCCCUGUCUCUGUGUUCCUCGUUGCCUUGAGCCUUCCAGUGAUUCUCUUUGUGUUUUCUCUGUUGCCUUCAGGUGAUCCCUUUGACACUCUGGACCCGCUGAUUAGACCCUGGCAGUUUUCCUGGUUUCAGAACCUCCCUCGUGACGCCGUGGAAAAUACCCACUGGUUGCCCGAGUUCCCAGACUCACCUCUCCGUUGUUUUGCAAGUAUCUCCUGGACCCCACGGCUGGCGGUCGAACCACUCCGCUGUGUCUCCGUUGCACCCGAGCCUACCUGUCCGUUCUCCGCCGCACUCCUCCGUUGUUCCUGGACCCACUGAGAGUCCGAGACUCUGGACAUACUCAGUUACCCUCCAAGGUUCAGAUCCAACCACCACCAAGUAAGAACAACCUGCGUUUGAUCUGAGAUUUCCAUGUUCCCACGACCCCUGAACUCACCAGUCUGCUCUUUCCCCUCGCAGUGAACCACUGCUGCCCGUUACCGUUGAUUCCCUGGACCAGACCACCUUGCCACACUCUGAUAAUUGUGUAAUCUUAAUAAAUCACUUAAACUGA
This is a long non-coding RNA of Xiphophorus hellerii (green swordtail), 793 nucleotides long. RefSeq lists it as uncharacterized. The record is from RefSeq and is a predicted model, not a curated record. Lineage: Eukaryota; Metazoa; Chordata; Actinopteri; Cyprinodontiformes; Poeciliidae. The transcript is spliced from 2 exons.